UUUAAAUUGUGCAUUAAAAUUGUGAAAAUUACUAAGAAUAUUUCAGCAAAAGCGAUUUAUACAGAUGUUAUUUUUCACAAUGAUUUUCUUACCAAAUCCACUUGUGGAUGCUCAUCGUCUUCAAGAGCAUUGUAAUCAACUAAAAAAUGGAUAUUGGCACAGCGUGUCGAAGUAUGCUUUCACAAUUUAUACAUUCAUCUAAAAGCACCAUUAAGUCAUAUGUAAGGAUAAAAUUACAGAAUAAAGAUUGUGUGGCUGGUAUUCUUUUUUUAAAACAACUCUGGGCAAUUUGUGUGGCUUGUCAUGAGAAAGGUUUUGAUAAAAUAUGAUCGCUCUGUUACAUAUGACAGCGUUGUCACGGCGUUUAAAUUCUUUUCAUUACUUAUAUAAAUAUUUGCACAACAUGAGAUGCGUAAAUUAUGUGAAAUAAGGAAAAUUAGCCGGUUUAUUUAAGAAAUACGUGAAGAUUUUUCACCAGCUUAGCUACUUCAGUAUUGUUUAAGACUGAAUACAAGAUGGAAAAGUUUGGCUUCCUUUCAUUUGUUUUGUUCUGUUGGAUUUCAUCUUGUCAAGGAAUAAUUCAAUCACCUCCC
Long non-coding RNA from Xenia sp. Carnegie-2017, 593 nucleotides. RefSeq lists it as uncharacterized. The record is from RefSeq and is a predicted model, not a curated record. NCBI's taxonomy places the organism in Eukaryota, Metazoa, Cnidaria, Anthozoa, Malacalcyonacea, Xeniidae. The transcript is spliced from 3 exons.